Molecule: long non-coding RNA, 1500 nt
Organism: Gasterosteus aculeatus aculeatus (three-spined stickleback)
Lineage: Eukaryota; Metazoa; Chordata; Actinopteri; Perciformes; Gasterosteidae
Source: Ensembl
GGGUCAUAUCCGCUGCCUGCACAUCUUCCUCCUCCUGCUCUCCCUUAUUUUGUUUUGCACACCUGUUGCCCGUUUGACGAGCGUUAUUGGCCUCAGCUGUGCGAGUGAUUAAAGCGUACAACACGUAUUCUCCCGCAAGUCACUCAAAGAGAAGACAGGUAAAGUCAGAGGAAAAAAAAGUUGUUGUGAAGAAAGACAACCGCCUUGAGAAGGGUUCCCCUCUACAGAUGGCUGUCCUGGAAUCCUGCUGAGACGCUGACACAUCUAGACAUGAAAGAAGUGGGUCUGGGAUGACUUCACAAACUUUGUGGAGCUCCAGCAGUGGCUAGCUCCCUGGGGCACCAAAAACGGAUCGCGCCUCACACAAGCCGGAUCGCGUGAGGCCAGCGAGACGCUUGGCCUUGGUACACAGGCGCUGAGGCCUUCAGGGCUGAAACGCCAAGCAACAGACAACGAUGUCCUCUAUCGUUCGCUCUUCUCAAAGCCGAUUGGAGUACUCUGGGGGGCAUAGAAGGGAGUAUAUCAUCCGUAUCCAUCUGGAGACAGCUUUUUGUCAGCCAAACCUCCAGACAUGAACUGGCAGAGCUCUGAGGGUUGGGUGACGAUUGGAUGGCGAGCAAUGAAGUUUAGGAAAAUUUGCAUCACUGUGCAGUGUUUGACUUUGAAAAGGCUGGGAAGGGGGGGUUAAAUCACUCUUUAAAGAGUACUCCACUACACCCCAUAGUUUCACUAGUGCUAACUGCUGCAACUAACAAAUAUUAUACAUUAGCAUUUAGAAGUUAACAUUCAAUCUGUGUGUUGAUUUUGUGUCCAAGUCAGGCCAUUAUCUCACAUUUAGUGAUAAUACCGAUUUGCCUUCUAACUUUGUUAUUCUAAUCACCACAUUGAAUAGGGGAAUUAUAGUAAGUGGUUAAAGCAACAUCGAUGUCUGCUCUACGAUUUAUAUUUACCAACAUAGAUGUAAAUUAUGAUGAACUAAACUAAAGAUAUUGAAAAAAUUAUGUCAGACUACUUUAUUCAUAGCUAAUGCUAUAGUUGUGCAAUCUGCUGCUUAGAAUGUUUUUGUGAUUUAAGAUAUGAAUGUAAAAGAAAAUGUAAUUCCAAUUAUUCUUAUUAUUAUGAAUUAUAUUAUACCAUUAAAUAACAGUCAGACAACUAUUGCUAAAAGAAAAGUCCAAAUAAUUUAUUAAAAAAUAUUUUAAACCAUGUCCUUUUUUUCUGGAAAGGUUGUCAUUUGGUUUUUAUAUUUCCUCAUAGCUAAUAUGCAAUGAUAGCUUUCUCUAUUUUAUACUCUCUGGCUUUUUGUCCCUCCCAUCUAUUUUGUUUAUCUAUUGUCAGACUCUCUGUAUGUUUGCAUGCCUGGCUGAUGUAUCUAUCUGGAAAUUGUUUAUAAAACUGAAAGAAAUGCAGCAGUCCUCUGGUCUUUUGUUCCUUUGCAUGCUGCUUUGAGAGCUCAAAGGGGAAAGCAAAACCAGUGUGCUUUGUUAACAAUUUUCUGAU